CGUGUAGGCGGUUUUUUAAGUCUGAUGUGAAAGCCCCGGGCUCAACCCGGGAAGUGCAUUGGAAACUGGGAGACUUGAAUACGGGAGAGGGUAGUGGAAUUCCUAGUGUAGGAGUGAAAUCCGUAGAUAUUAGGAGGAACACCGGUGGCGAAGGCGGCUACCUGGACCGAUAUUGACGCUGAGACGCGAAAGCGUGGGGAGCAAACAGGAUUAGAUACCCUGGUAGUCCACGCCGUAAACGAUGAGAACUAGGUGUUGCGGGUAUUGACCCCUGCAGUGCCGCAGCUAACGCAUUAAGUUCUCCGCCUGGGAAGUACGGUCGCAAGACUAAA
This 332-nucleotide ribosomal RNA is filed under the name uncultured Geobacter sp. Its description in RNAcentral is "bacterial SSU rRNA". It matches the Rfam family "Bacterial small subunit ribosomal RNA", at positions 568 to 898 of the family's 1533-position model. The record is from RNAcentral. Lineage: Bacteria; Pseudomonadati; Thermodesulfobacteriota; Desulfuromonadia; Geobacterales; Geobacteraceae.